GAUGAACGCUGGCGGCGUGCCUAAUACAUGCAAGUCGAGCGAACGGACGAGAAGCUUGCUCCUCUGAUGUUAGCGGCGGACGGGUGAGUAACACGUGGAUAACCUACCUAUAAGACUGGGAUAACUUCGGGAAACCGUAGCUAAUACCGGAUAAUAUUUUGAACCGCAUGGUUCAAAAGUGAAAGACGGUCUUGCUGUCACUUAUAGAUGGAUCCGCGCUGCAUUAGCUAGUUGGUAAGGUAACGGCUUACCAAGGCAACGAUGCAUAGCCGACCUGAGAGGGUGAUCGGCCACACUGGAACUGAGACACGGUCCAGACUCCUACGGGAGGCAGCAGUAGGGAAUCUUCCGCAAUGGGCGAAAGCCUGACGGAGCAACGCCGCGUGAGUGAUGAAGGUCUUCGGAUCGUAAAGCUCUGUUAUUAGGGAAGAACAUAUGUGUAAGUAACUGUGCACAUCUUGACGGUACCUAAUCAGAAAGCCACGGCUAACUACGUG
RNAcentral lists this ribosomal RNA (497 nucleotides) under uncultured bacterium. RNAcentral describes it as "partial 16S ribosomal RNA". It matches the Rfam family "Bacterial small subunit ribosomal RNA", at positions 28 to 507 of the family's 1533-position model. The record is from RNAcentral.